GUUUGACACUGCAAGUGAUUAUGGCAAGAUUUAGAAUUUUUAUAUUAUUUUAGGAUUAAAAAUUCAUAUUUAUUCCACUUGACUGUUGAAAGUGCUAGUUUGUCGUAAACUUUCUGACGCGCUGUUUUACCCGCGGACCAAGUGCAAGUCUAAAGAUAGCAAGCGUUUCCUAAAAGCAAAGAUAAUGCACGAAUUACGAAUAUUAUGGAUAGUUAUAUUAUUCAUG
RNAcentral lists this long non-coding RNA (226 nucleotides) under Phoenix dactylifera (date palm). RNAcentral describes it as "long non-coding RNA (PDAC_LNC017447)". The record is from RNAcentral. Lineage: Eukaryota; Viridiplantae; Streptophyta; Magnoliopsida; Arecales; Arecaceae.